AUGCCGAACAACAGAAAACAAGCUGAACAGAGACUCAUUGCACUCUCAAAACGUUUCACACAAGAUCAUGACUUUCACAAACAGUACGUCACAUUUAUGGAUAAAGUAAUAAACGAAGGCUAUGCUAUAAGAGUACCAGAGAAAGACAACGGUCAAAAUGAUGGUAGUAUCUGGUAUUUACCACAUCAUGGUGUAUUUCAUCCAAAGAAAAUGAAAUUACGAGUUGUAUUCGAUUGUGCAGCUAGAUUCAAAGGGACAUCAUUAAAUGAUCAAUAACUUCAAGGACCAAACCUGACAAACACCCUCAUUGGUACGCUGAUUCGCUUCAGACAGGAAGAAAUUGCAAUCAUGGGAGACAUUGAUAGUAUGUUUUACCAAGUCCGUGUGCCUUCUCAUGAUUCUAACUUUCUUAGAUUUCUUUGGUGGGAAAAUGGUGAUCAUUCGAAACAGCCUGUAGAGUACAAAAUGGUAGUUCAUCUCUUUGGUGCCACCUCUUCGCCAAGUUGCGCAAACUAUGCGCUUAGAAAAACUGCAUCAGAGCUAAAGGGUACAUUUGACAAUCAAGUUGUUGACACUGUUUUGAAGAAUUUUUAUGUAGAUGAUUGUCUAAAAUCAGUUUCAAGCACAAACAAGGCUAUUGCUUUAAUCAGUAACAUACAAAGUUUAUUAAAACAGGGUGGUUUUCGCAUAGCAAAAUGGAUUAGUAACGACAGAGAUGUGAUUAAUUAUGUUUCCUGUUGAAGAAGCGAGCUAAGAAAUAAAGGACUUAGAUUUAGAUCAAGACUCUUUACCAAUAGAUAGAGCAUUAGGCGUUACAAUGGUGCGUGGACUCGGAUAAAUUUCAUUUCAACAUCGAUGUAAAAGACAAACCAGCAACAAGGCGUGGUAUCUUAUCAAUGACAAGUAGUGUUUUUGAUCCGCUUGGAUUUCUAGCGCCGUUCUGUCUAGUUGGCAAAAGUAUUCUACAAGAACUUUGUAGGCUCGGUAUUGGAUGGGAUGAUGCAAUCCCACAAGUAUUAUCUGAAAAGUGGACUCAAUGGCUUUGUGACCUUGAAAAACUGUCCAGAAUUUAAAGUAAACCGAUGUUUAAAACCGUCAGGUUUUGGUGAAAUAGUUGCCGCUGAUUUGCAUCACUUUGCAGAUGCGAGCGAAAUUGGAUAUGGUGUAGUAAGUUACUUGCGCAUUGAGAACGAAAAGAAGGUAACAAUUAUUGUUCAUUCAUCAUGGGAAAGUCACGAGUCACACCUCUGAAACAAGUUACAAUUCCAAGGUUAGAGUUAACCGCAGCUACAGUAGCCGUGAGAACUAACAAAAUGAUUUUGAAAGAAUUAGAGAUACCUGUACAGCGAUCUUAUUUCUGGACAGAUAGUAUGACAGUUUUACGAUAUAUUUAAGAAUACUACAUCACGAUUUCAUACAUUUGUAGCCAAUAGACUUGCAGUUGUUAUACAUGAAGGCUCUAAUAUCUUUUGACUGGCGUUACAUUAGUACCAAAUUGAAUCCCGCAGACCUAGCCUCAAGAGGUGUUUCCGCAGAAGGUCUUCUUAGAAUGGAUCAAUGGAUUGUUCCUCCUGACUUUCUAUGGAAAGAUGAAGACUGUUGGCCGAAGCCAUCUUCAGAAAAUCAUGGAACAAUAUGUGCAGACGACCCUGAAGUUAGACAAGCAACUGUGCGAACAAUCAUUAAAACUGAAAUUCCGGAUAACAGUUCUUUGGGAGUCGAGAAACUCAUUGCGUAUUUCUCAUCUUGGAUGUCGUUAAAGCGAAGUGUAGCAUGGAUACUUAAAGUUCGUAAGGAGUUACUUAGACGUGUCAGUAAUAAGAAAGAAGAUAACAAAAUGACACUUGUUAAGGGAUCGGAUUCGAAAGAUACUAAACGAAUAUCACUUCAGGAUUUAAAAGACGCCGAACAUUCAAUUUUAGUUUACGUGCAGAGACAAGAAUUCACUGAUGAGAUUAACACUCUUUCCGGUAACAAAAAACAGUCAAGGCUACAAGUAAUAUCCGGAAACUCGACCCAAUUUUAGAUGGUGAUCUUUUACGUGUAGGAGGACGUUUAAUAGAGUCAAAACUGCCGGAAAAAUGUAAACAUCCGAUUAUAUUACCAAAGGGUCACCACAUCUCUGAAUUGAUUCUUAGACAAAAACACAUGUAUUUACAACACAGUGGUAGAAAUCAUUUGCUAGCUCACCUUCGUGAAACUUAUUGGUUGAUAAAUGCACCCUCAGCUGUGAGAAAAUUGAUAUCAAAAUGUGUUGUGUGUCGUCGCUUAAGUGCGCCCGUAGGUGAACAAAAGAUGGCUAAUUUGCCAUCAGAUCGUAUUACGCCGGAUGAACCACCUUUCUCGAGAGUAGGAGUAGAUUAUUUUGGUCCUUUUGAAGUGAAACAACGUAGAUGUCGUAUCAAACGCUAUGGUGCGAUUUUUACUUGUCUGUCUAGUAGAGCUAUUCAUUUGGAGGUAGCUGCAUCCUUAGAUACAAGUUCAUAUAUCAAUGUUUUACGACGAUUCAUUGCUCGUCGUGGUCAAGUAGAAAAGAUCAGAUCUGACAACGGCACGAAUUUCGUUGGCGCAGAGCGCGAACUUAAGAGCGCAUUAAGUGAAUGGAAUUUGAAUCAAAUUGAGAAUGCGAUGCUACAAAAGAACAUAGAUUGGCAGUUUAAUCCUCCGGCAGGUUCGCAUUUUGGAGGUGUAUGA
RNAcentral lists this small RNA (2694 nucleotides) under Mytilus galloprovincialis (Mediterranean mussel). The record is from RNAcentral. Lineage: Eukaryota; Metazoa; Mollusca; Bivalvia; Mytilida; Mytilidae.